AUAUUCCAGAAACUUGAUGCUGGCUCCCUCAUUUUCCAUAGACCUCAUAGCGCUUGUUGCUCUUGCAGAGGACCAGCACCCACAUGGCGGCUCGCAACUGUCUGUAACUCUAAUUCCUGGGGAUCUGACGCCCUCUUCUGGACUGCACAGGCACUGCAUUCAUAUAACAUCCAUGCACUCAGGGCUGGGACUGCAGGCAUGUACCAUGUGUCACUGUGACCAGUACAUGGAAUUCUGAGGCUUAAAACCAAGAAUUCCCGCACAGUGGGCAAAUGUUCCACCAACUGAACAACAUUCUCAUCCUGACAUACUCUUUCUUGGGGGUUGAAGCAAACAGUGAACCGACAUCUCCUAGCUCCCCACACAGUGUGAGCAAUUCCUCCUUUCAGUUUCUGAAGUUUCAGCCAAUGGAUGAAUCCGUUCAGGCUGAAGGCUGAAGCGGGACGGUGAGCUCUAGGCCAGCCUGGACUACACAGUGAAGCCCAGCUUAAAAAAGAAAAAAUGGCCAGUGUCUCAAAGAAGACUGAGCUUCUGGCAGCGGGCACCUAUAUCCUUGUGACUUCAGACAGCUUGAACUCAUGAGCUCUACUCAGCUGACCUGUUAUAAUUGUCUGAUGUUCUGAAUAUGGGUGGCUAUUGAAUGAGACUUCAGUUGUUUUUAGCACCGCCUCCCCCCAUCUCCUAGGUUCAUGCAGUAGAUAAAUAAGUAUUAAAAUGUGCUCAGUAUCACUAACCAAGGAAACCCAAAGCCAAAGCAUGAGUGCUACCUCUUAUCUGUUAUGGCUAUUACAAAAAACGUAAAAGUAACAAAUACUGACACGUGGGCAUAGAAAAGGGACUCAGUGUAGACUGUGAGUGGACUGUGAACUGGUGCCAUCACAUGAAAAACAGUAUAGGGCACUUUUUUUUCAAAUUAAAAAUCUAGUAACU
RNAcentral lists this long non-coding RNA (930 nucleotides) under Mus pahari (shrew mouse). RNAcentral describes it as "lncRNA (MGP_PahariEiJ_G0002587.1)". The record is from RNAcentral. Lineage: Eukaryota; Metazoa; Chordata; Mammalia; Rodentia; Muridae.